Molecule: long non-coding RNA, 407 nt
Organism: Ixodes scapularis (black-legged tick)
Lineage: Eukaryota; Metazoa; Arthropoda; Arachnida; Ixodida; Ixodidae
Exons: 2
Source: RefSeq, a predicted model, not a curated record
GGUCGUCAUCAUGGCGACGGUCUGGUGCAGCGCUCGUGGGACAGUACGCAUCACUCGUCAUUGUUGUCGGACAACUCCUUAUCGCUGUCAACGGCCCAAAGCGUUUCAUCUUCGGUGCCGUCCAUAGCGUUAGGAAUUCCGCACUUCUUGAAGGCCUUGAUAACCAUGGCAGACGGGAUCGUGCACCAUGCAUCUUUCACCCAUCGCACGUGAUGCGGCCCAAUUUCCAUCGCUCUCUGCGUGGCCUGAUGUACUAUGAGAGGGCAAAGAAGCCAGAGCCUGAACGUCGCCCGAUCCUGGAGCUCCAGACGGUAGUCCGCGACAUCCUAAAAGACUUCUUGCCUGAUGUUGCGAGGCAGGGCAGAAGGAGGGUCGCUCCGAAAGAAUAAAAUGGCAGUGAUUCCUUA